UGUUGACCUCAACUCAAAUGUGAUUACCCGCUAAAUUAAGCUAC
This 44-nucleotide ribosomal RNA is filed under the name Oxyspirura petrowi. RNAcentral's name for it is "partial 28S ribosomal RNA". Lineage: Eukaryota; Metazoa; Nematoda; Chromadorea; Rhabditida; Thelaziidae. The record is from RNAcentral.